RNAcentral lists this long non-coding RNA (933 nucleotides) under Ananas comosus (pineapple). Its description in RNAcentral is "long non-coding RNA (ACOM_LNC021703)". The record is from RNAcentral. Lineage: Eukaryota; Viridiplantae; Streptophyta; Magnoliopsida; Poales; Bromeliaceae.
AUAGUCCCACAUCGGAUGGGAUACUGAUUCCGAUCAGUUUAUAUGAGACCUACACGCUAGUAAUAAUAACCCGGCUUAAGCAUUUUGGGCUGAUAGUUUGGGCUCAACGAGUUAUUGUUGCUAGCGGGUCGGGUCGUUAAAAUUGGUAUCAGAGCCGAAUACCAGCCGGAAGUGUGAGAACUAAGUGCUAUGCGGGACAAAGUGCUACACCAACGGGUUUGGUGGGAGCCACCUCUUGAACCCGUAGGAGCCACCUCUAGAAUCUCACAUCGCCUGGUAAUGGUCCUGGUUUGUCUGUCUGUGAUCUGGUUUGGACCCGACGAGGACGUCAGGGUCUAAACAGGGGGAGUUUGUAACGCUCCCAAUAGUCCCACAUCGGAUGGGAUAUUGAUUCCGAUCAGUUUAUAUGAGACCUACACGCUAGUAAUAAUAACCCGGCUUAAGCAUUUUGGGCCGAUAGUUUGGGCCCAACGAGUUAUUGUUACUAGCGGGUCGGGUCGUUAAAAUUUUUGUAACGCCCGGUUUGUUGCAAUUGGUAUCAGAGACGAAUACCAGCCGGAAGUGUGAGAACUAAGUGCUAUGCGGGACAAAGUGCUACACCAACGGGUUUGGUGGGAGCCACCUCUUGAACCCGUAGGAGCCACCUCUAGAAUCUCACAUCGCCUGGUAAUGGUCCUGGUUUGUCUGUCUGUGAUCUGGUUUGGACCCGACGAGGACGUCAGGGUCUAAACAGGGGGAGUUUGUAACGCCCCCAAUAGUCCCACAUCGGAUGGGAUACUGAUUCCGAUCAGUUUAUAUGAGACCUACACACUAGUAAUAAUAACUGGGCUUAAGCAUUUUGGGCCGGUGGUUUGGGCCCAACGAGUUAUUGUUGCUAGCGGGUCGGGUCGUUGGAAAAUCACUGAUAUAAUAUUAACACUAACAUAAAAUACC